UGGGUUGCGGCUCAGUGGUAGAGCGCUCGCCUCACAUGUGCGACACCCUGGGUUCAAUCCUCAGCACCACAU
Ictidomys tridecemlineatus (thirteen-lined ground squirrel) is the source of this 72-nucleotide non-coding RNA. The record is from Rfam. Lineage: Eukaryota; Metazoa; Chordata; Mammalia; Rodentia; Sciuridae.